Molecule: ribosomal RNA, 253 nt
Filed under: uncultured bacterium
Lineage: Bacteria
Description: partial 16S ribosomal RNA
Rfam family: Bacterial small subunit ribosomal RNA
Source: RNAcentral
UACGAAGGGGGCUAGCGUUGCUCGGAAUCACUGGGCGUAAAGCGCACGUAGGCGGGUCGUUAAGUCAGGGGUGAAAUCCUGGAGCUCAACUCCAGAACUGCCCUUGAUACUGGCGAUCUCGAGUUCGGGAGAGGUGAGUGGAACUGCGAGUGUAGAGGUGAAAUUCGUAGAUAUUCGCAAGAACACCAGUGGCGAAGGCGGCUCACUGGCCCGAUACUGACGCUGAGGCGCGAAAGCGUGGGGAGCAAACAGG